Molecule: small RNA, 219 nt
Filed under: Bacillus safensis
Lineage: Bacteria; Bacillati; Bacillota; Bacilli; Caryophanales; Bacillaceae
Description: SR1
Rfam family: SR1 sRNA
Source: RNAcentral
UAAGAAAUAGAUCAAACGCUUUCAAACUAUGAAUGAAGAAAAGGGGAAUGUACGUGGGUACAAUUAUUUGUCAAGAUUGCAAUGAAACCAUUGAUCAAUUUGAAAAUGAAAAAGUGACAACGCUAUAUGGAACGUGUGGUCACUGUCAUUGCUGUGAUGAAGCCUCUGAAUGAAUAAAUAAAAAAGCAUGCAGCUCCAUUUGGGGCUGCAUGUUUCUUU